RNAcentral lists this unclassified non-coding RNA (207 nucleotides) under plant metagenome. RNAcentral's name for it is "partial contains small subunit ribosomal RNA, internal transcribed spacer 1, and 5.8S ribosomal RNA". The record is from RNAcentral.
UUUCCGUAGGUGAACCUGCGGAAGGAUCAUUCAUAAUAAGUGUUUUAUGGCACUUUCUUAAAUCCAUAUCCACCUUGUGUGCAAUGUCAGGGUUGGUCUCUUUUGAGCAGCCCCAAACAUCAGCUAAUAUCUCAACUCUAUGUCUGAAAAAUAUUAUGAAUAAAACAAUUCAAAAUACAACUUUCAACAACGGAUCUCUUGGCUCUC